Molecule: ribosomal RNA, 467 nt
Filed under: uncultured bacterium
Lineage: Bacteria
Description: bacterial SSU rRNA
Rfam family: Bacterial small subunit ribosomal RNA
Source: RNAcentral
AUGAACGCUGGCGGCGUGCCUAAUACAUGCAAGUCGAACGAGGUGCUUUUGUAGCAAUACGGAAGUAUCCUAGUGGCGAGCGGGUGAGUAACGCGUUGGUGACCUACCCCAAAGUGUGGGAUAACAGUUCGAAAGAACUGCUAAUACCGCAUGUGGUUAUUGGAUUUAGAAACCGAUAACUAAAGGAGCAAUUCGCUUUGGGAGGGACCUGCGUCCCAUCAGCUAGUUGGUAGGGUAACGGCCUACCAAGGCAAAGACGGGUAGGGGAACUGAGAGGGUGACCCCCCACACUGGAACUGAAACACGGUCCAGACACCUACGGGUGGCAGCAGUAGGGAAUAUUGCACAAUGGACGAAAGUCUGAUGCAGCAACGCCGCGUGUGCGAUGAAGGCCUUCGGGUUGUAAGGCACUUGUAUGAGGGAAGAGCAAGGACUGUACCUCAUGAAUAAGGAUCGGCUAACUACGU